This 135-nucleotide ribosomal RNA is filed under the name Triticum aestivum (bread wheat). Its description in RNAcentral is "partial small subunit ribosomal RNA". The record is from RNAcentral. Lineage: Eukaryota; Viridiplantae; Streptophyta; Magnoliopsida; Poales; Poaceae.
AUGUAUGCUUUUAGCGGGAAUAUUAUUAAAGAUGGGAGCAUAUGGAUUGAUUCGGAUCAACAUGGAAUUGUUACCUCAUGCUCAUUAUCUAUUUUCGCCCUGGUUAGUAAUAAUAGGAGCGAUCCAAAUAAUCUA